GUGGAGAUGAGCUUUCCUCUCCAAAUCCGAUCUGGCACUUCUCUCCUUUUCAAUCUCCUGCUGCAGCAGCUCCCUAUGCCUCAGAGAUUCUUGCAACUCUUCCUUAUGUUUCCUUCUAAGAUCCCUGAUUUCUUCCUCAAGUUGGUUUGCACGACCCUCUUGAGUGUCAGCUUCCUCUUUUGCUGCAAGAUACUCCUGCCUGAUUUCAGCUGCUCUCUUUCUCUAUCUCGGU
This 232-nucleotide unclassified non-coding RNA is filed under the name Hevea brasiliensis (rubber tree). Lineage: Eukaryota; Viridiplantae; Streptophyta; Magnoliopsida; Malpighiales; Euphorbiaceae. The record is from RNAcentral.